GAUUAUGGCUCAGGAUGAACGCUAGCGGCAGGCUUAACACAUGCAAGUCGAGGGGCAGCGUGGAGUAGCAAUACUCUGACGGCGACCGGCGAAAGGGUGAGUAACGCGUGAGCAACAUGCCCGUAGUUGGGGGAUAGUCGAUGGAAACGUCGCGUAAUACCCCGUAACAACAGAGGCCGCAUGACCUUUGUUUAAGAGAUUUAUUGUCUACGGAUUGGCUCGCGUACCAUUAGCUAGUUGGCGGGUAACGGCCCACCAAGGCGACGAUGGUUAGGGGUUCUGAGAGGAAGGUCCCCCACAUUGGAACUGAGACACGGUCCAGACUCCUACGGGAGGCAGCAGUGAGGAAUAUUGGUCAAUGGCCGAGAGGCUGAACCAGCCAUGCCGCGUGCCGGGAUGACGGCCCUAUGGGUUGUAAACCGCUUUUGUUGGGGAGCAAUAAGGUUCACGUGUGGACUGAUGAGAGUACCCAGCGAAUAAGCAUCGGCUAACUCCGUGCCAGCCGCGGC
RNAcentral lists this ribosomal RNA (509 nucleotides) under uncultured bacterium. RNAcentral's name for it is "bacterial SSU rRNA". It matches the Rfam family "Bacterial small subunit ribosomal RNA", at positions 15 to 518 of the family's 1533-position model. The record is from RNAcentral.